RNAcentral lists this long non-coding RNA (3035 nucleotides) under Salvia miltiorrhiza (redroot sage). RNAcentral describes it as "long non-coding RNA (SMIL_LNC007261)". The record is from RNAcentral. Lineage: Eukaryota; Viridiplantae; Streptophyta; Magnoliopsida; Lamiales; Lamiaceae.
UACAAAUAAACCUAGCUUCAAUUUUAUUAUAAUCAUAAAUUACCACUCAACUUUAAAAUUAAUUUAAAAUUAAAAUUUAUCCUUUUGAAAUAUUACAUAUGUUUCACAUUCAAGUGCACCAUUACACGAUCUUUCAAAUGAUUUGUUCAACCAAAAAAAAUAAAAAAAUAAAAAUCGUAAAGUUGAAACACCAUGCGAUUAGAAUAUUCAUAAUGGGCUUUUUCUUAUGUUCCAUAUCCUACCUUGCAGCAGCAGCAGCAGCCAUAUUUGACUAAUUAUACGGCAUAGGACAUCUGGACAUGAAUGUUGAAUUUAAUCUAUACUAAUAGAAAAAGAACUCAAGGCAUCUUAAGGCACAACUUGUGGAUUACUUAUUUCAGUUGGUCUUGGGUGCGACCGUUGCACACUAUGCGACAGGUCCGCCCCUAACCCAAGACCCGAAAUCAUGAAUCCUAAAUUAUUACAUUUGUUUAUAAUAAUUGUUAUUUGUAAUAAGCAUGAGAUAUACAUUUAUUCGCUCAAAUGUAUACUUAUAUAAAUAUAAAUAUUUACCUUCAUUUAAUAUAAAGUAUUAUAUUUUCUAAACCGUAAUAGGAGUAUUUACUUUUAAUAAGCAUAAGAUAUACAUUUGGUCGUACAAAAUGUAUACUUAUAUUAAUAUAAAAUAUUUAUCUUCAUUCAAUAUAAAGCAUUACAUAUCAAUAAUAUUUUUUCUUACGAUAAUAAUUAUUUGAUCAAAUAAUAAAGUAAUUAUUUAUGCUUAUUAAAAGUAAUCAUUGUUAUAGUAAAAACUAAUAUUUGAUAUGAAAUAUAAUGUUUCAAAAAUAUUAUAUUAAUUGAAAUUAUUGUUGUAAUAAAAAGUCAUUAUUGCUAUAAUAAAAAGGAGUAAUUAUUAUUAUUAUAAAGAAAGAUAAAUUUUUUUAAACAUUACAUUUUUCACAAUAUUGAUAUUAACUACUUAUAUUAACAUAAAUAUACAUUUAUACGAACAAAUGUAUAUAUUAUACUUAUUAAAAGUAACAGUUAUUAUAAACAAAUGUAAUACUCCAUCCGUCCACGAAAUGAGUACCCAUAUUUCCUUUUUCGUCCGUCCACGAAAUGAGUACCUAUUUCCCUUUUUGGCAAGUGUACCCCACACAUCUCUUUAAUUAAUACACUCAAAAAGUGAGACCCUUAAACUAUUUACACUACACUCCAUACAUUUCUUAAAACUCGUGCCGUCCACAAAUGGGUACUCAUUUCGUGGACGGAAGGAAUAAUUGAGAGUGCAGGUCAAAUUCACGCGGAUCAGAAGGCGGGUCAACCCGUCGCACACUAGUGCGACCGCCGCACCCAAUAAAUUGCGCAAAAUAAAAAGAAAACGAAGAUUUAUGUUUAGAAGAAUGAUUUUAAUUAAAUUUAUGUAGAAACAGAUCCAUUUUGAAAACUAUCUUAAUUACCACCCAAAUAUCAUUUUUUUAUGUAUUAAUUACCUUUAUUAAAUAAUAACUUUUGAAUAAUUCAUUGCUAACUAUUUCAACAGGUCGACCAAAAAUGGUUAAACUUUCAAAAUGAAGGAAACCAAUUGAUCUCUUGCAAAUAUAUUCAAGUCAAAGCGACGUCAAAUUACAUGAAUGUCAAAUUCAAUUUGGAUUCUUCCUUCCUCACCAUGUUGGUUUAUCAAGUCUUUUUCACUUCAUACGAUGACAAACAAUUAGGUCGGCUCGAAUUUCAAAGCCGAGGUAAAAGUUAUCCAACAAUCAUNAUGCUUAAGAUUAAACUAGCAUUAGAGCCGUAAAAUAUUUUGUUUAUAUAUAUAAUUGGUACUGACUCAAUUAUCAUAUUUAUAAAUAUAAUAAAAAAUAGAAUUUUAGUUGGAUAAGAAAAAGGAGAAUUUACAGUACUAAAAAUUAGAUAAUUAUAAGAAGAAAAAAUACUAAGUUAAAGAAAAAAGAUAAAAAUAAAAAUAGAAAUAAAAAGAGUUGAAAAUAUAUCAUUCAUAAAAAGAUGAGAUAGGAGAGAGAAUUUGGUUAACUUUUAAUCAUUAAAUAAAUAUAAUUCUUACAUUUUAAAAUCUAAUAUUUAAAUAAAAUAUAUCAAAUAAAAGCUCUUGUGGUGAUCUUUAAAUGCGUAUUAAAUAUUUUAUAAUUAGCUAAAUUUUCACAAUUUUAAAAAAUAAAUAAGACUAAAACAUAAAAAGAUAAAGAAAAAAGAAAAAAAGAAAAGAAAAGAAAUAUAGUGUACAAAUAAACCUAGCUUCAAUUUUAUUAUAAUCAUAAAUUACCACUCAACUUUAAAAUUAAUUUAAAAUUAAAAUUUAUCCUUUUGAAAUAUUACAUAUGUUUCACAUUCAAGUGCACCAUUACACGAUCUUUCAAAUGAUUUGUUCAACCAAAAAAAAUAAAAAAAAUAAAAAUCGUAAAGUUGAAUUGAAACACCAUGCGAUUAGAAUAUUCAUGAUUGGCUUUUUCUUAUGUUCCAUAUCCUACCUAGCAGCAGCAGCCAUAUUUGACUAAUUAUACGGCAUAGGACAUGUGGACAUGAAUGUUGAAUUUAAUCUAUACUAAGGCACAACUUGUGAAUUACUUAUUUCAGUUGGUCUUGGGUGCGACCGUCGCACACUAUGCGACAGGUCCGCCCCUAACCCACGCCCCAGACCCGAAACCAUGAAUCCUAAAUUAUUACAUUUGUUUAUAAUAAUUGUUACUUGUAAUAAGCAUGAGAUAUACAUUUAUUCGCUCAAAUGUAUACUUAUAUAAAUAUAAAUAGUUACCUUCAUUUAAUAUAAAGUAUUAUAUUUUCUAAACCGUAAUAGGAGUAUUUACUUUUAAUAAGCAUAAGAUAUGCAUUUGGUCGCACAAAUGUAUACUUAUAUUAAUAUAAAUAUUUACCUUCAUUCAAUAUAAAGCAUUAUACAUAUCAAUAAUUAUUUUUUCUUACGAUAAUAAUUAUUUGAUUAAAUAAUAAAGUAAUUAUUUAUGCUUAUUAAAAGUAAUCAUUGUUAUAGUAAAAACUAAUAUUUGAUAUGAAAUAUAAUGUUUCAAAAAUAUUAUAUU